This 520-nucleotide ribosomal RNA is filed under the name uncultured Glomus. Its description in RNAcentral is "SSU rRNA". It matches the Rfam family "Eukaryotic small subunit ribosomal RNA", at positions 569 to 1089 of the family's 1831-position model. The record is from RNAcentral. Lineage: Eukaryota; Fungi; Glomeromycota; Glomeromycetes; Glomerales; Glomeraceae.
AGCAGCCGCGGUAAUUCCAGCUCCAAUAGCGUAUAUUAAAGUUGUUGCAGUUAAAAAGCUCGUAGUUGAAUUUCGGGGUUAGUAGGUUGGUCAUGCCUCUGGUAUGUACUGGUCUCACUGAUUCCUCCUUCCUGAUGAGCCGUAAUGCCAUUAAUUUGGUGUUGCGGGGAAUUUGGACUGUUACUUUGAAAAAAUUUAGAGUGUUUAAAGCAAGCUAACGCUUGAAUACAUUAGCAUGGAAUAAUGAAAUAGGACGUUCGAUCCUAUUUUGUUGGUUUCUAGGGUUGACGUAAUGAUUAAUAGGGAUAGUUGGGGGCAUUAGUAUUCAAUUGUCAGAGGUGAAAUUCUUGGAUUUAUUGAAGACUAACUACUGCGAAAGCAUUUGCCAAGGAUGUUUUCAUUAAUCAAGAACGAAAGUUAGGGGAUCGAAGACGAUCAGAUACCGUCGUAGUCUUAACCAUAAACUAUGCCGACUAGGGAUCGGAUGAUGUUAAUUUUUUAAUGACUCAUUCGGCGCCUU